RNAcentral lists this ribosomal RNA (494 nucleotides) under uncultured bacterium. Its description in RNAcentral is "partial 16S ribosomal RNA". It matches the Rfam family "Bacterial small subunit ribosomal RNA", at positions 28 to 504 of the family's 1533-position model. The record is from RNAcentral.
GAUGAACGCUGGCGGCGUGCCUAAUACAUGCAAGUCGAGCGAACAGACGAGGAGCUUGCUCCUCUGACGUUAGCGGCGGACGGGUGAGUAACACGUGGAUAACCUACCUAUAAGACUGGGAUAACUUCGGGAAACCGGAGCUAAUACCGGAUAAUAUAUUGAACCGCAUGGUUCAAUAGUGAAAGACGGUUUUGCUGUCACUUAUAGAUGGAUCCGCGCCGCAUUAGCUAGUUGGUAAGGUAACGGCUUACCAAGGCAACGAUGCGUAGCCGACCUGAGAGGGUGAUCGGCCACACUGGAACUGAGACACGGUCCAGACUCCUACGGGAGGCAGCAGUAGGGAGUCUUCCGCAAUGGGCGAAAGCUUGACGGAGCAACGCCGCGUGAGUGAUGAAGGUCUUCGGAUCGUAAAACUCUGUUAUUAGGGAAGAACAAAUGUGUAAGUAACUAUGCACGUCUUGACGGUACCUAAUCAGAAAGCCCCGGCUAACUAC